RNAcentral lists this ribosomal RNA (982 nucleotides) under uncultured euryarchaeote. RNAcentral's name for it is "bacterial SSU rRNA". It matches the Rfam family "Archaeal small subunit ribosomal RNA", at positions 337 to 1331 of the family's 1478-position model. Lineage: Archaea; Methanobacteriati; Methanobacteriota. The record is from RNAcentral.
AGGCCGGAACCUUUACAAUGCACGAAAGUGUGAUAGGGGGAUUCCGAGUGCUCAUGUAUUGCAUGGGCUUUUGUAGUGGGUAAGGUCCACUACGAAUAAGAGGUGGGAAAGACCGGUGCCAGCCGCCGCGGUAAUCCCGGCGCCUCUAGUGGCACUCGCGAUUAUUGGGUCUAAAGCGUCCGUAGCCGGUUUGGUAAAUCCGCUGUGAAAUCAUCAGGCUUAACCUGGUGGCGUGCAGUGGACACUGCUGAACUAGGGACCGGGAAGCGUCAGAAGAAUUCUGGGGGGAGUGGUAAAAUGCUAUAAUCCUCGGAGGACUACCGGUGGCGAAAGCGUCUGACGAGAACGGGUCCGACGGUCAGGGACGAAGGCUGAGGGAGCAAAAGGGAUUAGAUACCCCUGUAGUCUCAGCAGUAAACUCUGUAGAUUAGUGUUGCGCGAUCUUAGAGUCGUGCAGUAUCGGAGCGAAGGCGAUAAAUCUACCACCUGGGGAGUACGGUCGCAAGGUUGAAACUUAAAGAAAUAGACGGGGGAGCACCACAAGGGGUGCGGCAUGCGGUUUAAUUGGAUUCAACGCCGGAAAUCUCACCAGAGCCGACAGCUGAAUGAAAGCCAGCCUGAAGGGCUUGCUUGACUCGCUGAGAGGAGGUGCAUGGCCGUCGCCAGCUCGUGCCGUGAGGUGGCCAGUUAACUCUGGCAACGAGCGAGACCCUCACUCACAUUUGCUACUGAUUUGAUGUCAGGCACUAUGUGAGGACUGCCCGAGAAAUUGGGAUGAAGGAGAGGGCUACGAUAGGUCUGUAUGCCCCGAAUGCUCUGGGCAACACGCGUGCAACAAAGGUUGAGACAAUGGGUCGCGACUCCGAAAGGAGAAGCUAAUCUCAAAACUCAAUCUCAGUUCAGAUCGAGGUUUGUAAUUCAACCUCGUGACGCCGGGAUCCCUAGUAAUCAGGUGUAAUCAUCGCUUGGUGAAUGAGUCCCU